This 434-nucleotide ribosomal RNA is filed under the name uncultured bacterium. RNAcentral's name for it is "bacterial SSU rRNA". It matches the Rfam family "Bacterial small subunit ribosomal RNA", at positions 917 to 1349 of the family's 1533-position model. The record is from RNAcentral.
GGACCCGCACAAGUAGUGGAGCAUGUGGUUUAAUUCGAAGAUACGCGCAGAACCUUACCAACACUUGACAUGUUCGUCGCGACUUUAAGAGAUUAAAGUUUUCGGUUCGGCCGGACGAAACACAGGUGCUGCAUGGCUGUCGUCAGCUCGUGUCGUGAGAUGUUGGGUUAAGUCCCGCAACGAGCGCAACCCUCACUUUUAGUUGCCAUCAUUAAGUUGGGCACUCUGAAAGAACUGCCAGUGAUAAGCUGGAGGAAGGUGGGGAUGACGUCAAGUCCUCAUGGCCCUUACGUGUUGGGCUACACACGUGCUACAAUGGUAUCUACAACAGGAAGCAAAACUGCGAGGUUAAGCAAAUCCUCAAAAGAUACCUCAGUUCGGAUUGCACUCUGCAACUCGAGUGCAUGAAGCUGGAAUUACUAGUAAUCGUGGAU